UACAGAGGGGGCAAGCGUUGUUCGGAAUUACUGGGCGUAAAGGGCGCGUAGGCGGCCUGCUAAGUCGAACGUGAAAUCCCUGGGUUCAACCCAGGAACUGCGUCCGAUACUGGUUGGCUUGAAUCCGGGAGAGGGAUGCGGAAUUCCAGGUGUAGCGGUGAAAUGCGUAGAUAUCUGGAGGAACACCGGUGGCGAAGGCGGCAUCCUGGACCGGCAUUGACGCUGAGGCGCGAAAGCCAGGGGAGCAAACGGG
RNAcentral lists this ribosomal RNA (253 nucleotides) under uncultured bacterium. Its description in RNAcentral is "partial 16S ribosomal RNA". It matches the Rfam family "Bacterial small subunit ribosomal RNA", at positions 524 to 776 of the family's 1533-position model. The record is from RNAcentral.